AGUGAACGCUGGCGGUAGGCCUAACACAUGCAAGUCGAACGGCAGCACAGUAAGAGCUUGCUCUUACGGGUGGCGAGUGGCGGACGGGUGAGGAAUACAUCGGAAUCUACUUUUUCGUGGGGGAUAACGUAGGGAAACUUACGCUAAUACCGCAUACGACCUACGGGUGAAAGCAGGGGAUCUUCGGACCUUGCGCGAUUGAAUGAGCCGAUGUCGGAUUAGCUAGUUGGCGGGGUAAAGGCCCACCAAGGCGACGAUCCGUAGCUGGUCUGAGAGGAUGGUCAGCCACACUGGAACUGAGACACGGUCCAGACUCCUACGGGAGGCAGCAGUGGGGAAUAUUGGACAAUGGGCGAAAGCCUGAUCCAGCCAUACCGCGUGGGUGAAGAAGGCCUUCGGGUUGUAAAGCCCUUUUGUUGGGAAAGAAAAGCAGCAGGUUAAUACCCCGCUGUUCUGACGGUACCCAAAGAAUAAGCACCGGCUAACUUCGUG
Molecule: ribosomal RNA, 492 nt
Filed under: uncultured bacterium
Lineage: Bacteria
Description: partial 16S ribosomal RNA
Rfam family: Bacterial small subunit ribosomal RNA
Source: RNAcentral